GGUUAAGCGACUAAGCGUACACGGUGGAUGCCUAGGCAGUCAGAGGCGAUGAAGGGCGUGCUAAUCUGCGAAAAGCGUCGGUAAGGUGAUAUGAACCGUUAUAACCGACGAUACCCGAAUGGGGAAACCCAGUGCAAUUCGUUGCACUAUUGCAUGGUGAAUACAUAGCCAUGCAAGGCGAACCGGGGGAACUGAAACAUCUAAGUACCCCGAGGAAAAGAAAUCAACCGAGAUUCCCCCAGUAGCGGCGAGCGAACGGGGAGGAGCCCAGAACCUGAAUCAGCGUAUGUGUUAGUGGAAGCGUCUGGAAAGUCGCACGGUACAGGGUGAUAGUCCCGUACACAAAAAUGCAUAUGUUGUGAGUUCGAUGAGUAGGGCGGGACACGUGACAUCCUGUCUGAAUAUGGGGGGACCAUCCUCCAAGGCUAAAUACUCCUGACUGACCGAUAGUGAACCAGUACCGUGAGGGAAAGGCGAAAAGAACCCCGGCGAGGGGAGUGAAACAGAACCUGAAACCGUGUACGUACAAGCAGUGGGAGCACCUUCGUGGUGUGACUGCGUACCUUUUGUAUAAUGGGUCAGCGACUUAUAUUUUGUAGCAAGGUUAACCGAAUAGGGGAGCCGCAGGGAACCCGAGU
Molecule: ribosomal RNA, 638 nt
Filed under: Yersinia enterocolitica subsp. palearctica YE-P4
Lineage: Bacteria; Pseudomonadati; Pseudomonadota; Gammaproteobacteria; Enterobacterales; Yersiniaceae
Description: bacterial LSU rRNA
Rfam family: Bacterial large subunit ribosomal RNA
Source: RNAcentral